GAUGAACGCUAGCGAUAGGCUUAACACAUGCAAGUCGAGGGGCAGCAUGGUCUUAGCUUGCUAAGACUGAUGGCGACCGGCGCACGGGUGCGUAACGCGUAUGCAACUUGCCUCACAGAGGGGGAUAACCCGUCGAAAGACGGACUAAUACCGCGUACACUUGGGAUAGGGCAUCCUGACCCAAGGAAAUGAAAUUCGCUGUGAGAUAGGCAUGCGUCCCAUUAGCUAGUUGGUGAGGUAACGGCUCACCAAGGCGACGAUGGGUAGGGGAACUGAGAGGUUGAACCCCCACACUGGUACUGAGACACGGACCAGACUCCUACGGGAGGCAGCAGUGAGGAAUAUUGGUCAAUGGGCGAGAGCCUGAACCAGCCAAGUCGCGUGAAGGAUGACUGUCUUAUGGAUUGUAAACUUCUUUUAUACGGGAAUAACGAGAGCCACGUGUGGCUCCCUGCAUGUACCGUAUGAAUAAGCAUCGGCUAACUCCGUG
Molecule: ribosomal RNA, 490 nt
Filed under: uncultured bacterium
Lineage: Bacteria
Description: partial 16S ribosomal RNA
Rfam family: Bacterial small subunit ribosomal RNA
Source: RNAcentral